Molecule: long non-coding RNA, 369 nt
Organism: Lepidothrix coronata (blue-crowned manakin)
Lineage: Eukaryota; Metazoa; Chordata; Aves; Passeriformes; Pipridae
Exons: 3
Source: RefSeq, a predicted model, not a curated record
AUUCCAUACCACUCCACACCAUUCCACACCAUCCCAUACCCCUGGUGCCUCGGGUACAGCGACCGUUUGUCACAACACCUCGCCCACACACUGCAGAUCUAACCCGACUGCUGACAACAUUUUCUGUUCAGAGCUGGUAGCUGUGAACCUCACUAACUUUGGAUUGCAUCCUUGAGAGGUUUUACCUCUGCAAAUUCAACUGGAAAAGUUCAAGAAUAAAAAUGCGCAGAGCACUAAAAGGAACAACCCCCAAAGUCUUCUGUGACUGCCACCCUGUGUCCUCAGGCAUCUUCCAGGAGGUGGAAAAUCGAGACACUGUGAUGGCACUAUUGUGGCACAGUUUGUGGCACAGAGCUGUCUGGGAGUCAC